AUGAACGCUGGCGGCGUGCCUAAUACAUGCAAGUCGCGCGAACAGACGAGGAGCUUGCUCCUCUGACGUUAGCGGCGGACGGGUGAGUAACACGUGGAUAACCUACCUAUAAGACUGGGAUAACUUCGGGAAACCGGAGCUAAUACCGGAUAAUAUAUUGAACCGCAUGGUUCAAUAGUGAAAGACGGUUUUGCUGUCACUUAUAGAUGGAUCCGCGCCGCAUUAGCUAGUUGGUAAGGUAACGGCUUACCAAGGCAACGAUGCGUAGCCGACCUGAGAGGGUGAUCGGCCACACUGGAACUGAGACACGGUCCAGACUCCUACGGGAGGCAGCAGUAGGGAAUCUUCCGCAAUGGGCGAAAGCUUGACGGAGCAACGCCGCGUGAGUGAUGAAGGUCUUCGGAUCGUAAAACGCUGUUAUUAGGGAAGAACAAAUGUGUAAGUAACUAUGCACGUCUUGACGGUACCUAAUCAGAAAGCCACGGCUAACUACGU
Molecule: ribosomal RNA, 495 nt
Filed under: uncultured bacterium
Lineage: Bacteria
Description: partial 16S ribosomal RNA
Rfam family: Bacterial small subunit ribosomal RNA
Source: RNAcentral